RNAcentral lists this ribosomal RNA (854 nucleotides) under Escherichia coli. RNAcentral's name for it is "partial 23S ribosomal RNA". It matches the Rfam family "Bacterial large subunit ribosomal RNA", at positions 1 to 888 of the family's 2925-position model. Lineage: Bacteria; Pseudomonadati; Pseudomonadota; Gammaproteobacteria; Enterobacterales; Enterobacteriaceae. The record is from RNAcentral.
GGGUUGUGAGGUUAAGCGACUAAGCGUACACGGUGGAUGCCCUGGCAGUCAGAGGCGAUGAAGGACGUGCUAAUCUGCGAUAAGCGUCGGUAAGGUGAUAUGAACCGUUAUAACCGGCGAUUUCCGAAUGGGGAAACCCAGUGUGUUUCGACACACUAUCAUUAACUGAAUCCAUAGGUUAAUGAGGCGAACCGGGGGAACUGAAACAUCUAAGUACCCCGAGGAAAAGAAAUCAACCGAGAUUCCCCCAGUAGCGGCGAGCGAACGGGGAGGAGCCCAGAGCCUGAAUCAGUAUGUGUGUUAGUGGAAGCGUCUGGAAAGGCGCGCGAUACAGGGUGACAGCCCCGUACACAAAAAUGCACAUAUUGUGAGCUCGAUGAGUAGGGCGGGACACGUGGUAUCCUGUCUGAAUAUGGGGGGACCAUCCUCCAAGGCUAAAUACUCCUGACUGACCGAUAGUGAACCAGUACCGUGAGGGAAAGGCGAAAAGAACCCCGGCGAGGGGAGUGAAAAAGAACCUGAAACCGUGUACGUACAAGCAGUGGGAGCACGCUUAGGCGUGUGACUGCGUACCUUUUGUAUAAUGGGUCAGCGACUUAUAUUCUGUAGCAAGGUUAACCGAAUAGGGGAGCCGAAGGGAAACCGAGUCUUAACUGGGCGUUAAGUUGCAGGGUAUAGACCCGAAACCCGGUGAUCUAGCCAUGGGCAGGUUGAAGGUUGGGUAACACUAACUGGAGGACCGAACCGACUAAUGUUGAAAAAUUAGCGGAUGACUUGUGGCUGGGGGUGAAAGGCCAAUCAAACCGGGAGAUAGCUGGUUCUCCCCGAAAGCUAUUUAGGUAGCGCCUCGUGAA